GACGGAAGGUGCAAGCGUUGUUCGGAAUUACUGGGCGUAAAGGGCUCGUAGGUGGCCAACUAAGUCAGACGUGAAAUCCCUCGGCUUAACCGGGGAACUGCGUCUGAUACUGGAUGGCUUGAGUUUGGGAGAGGGACGCGGAAUUCCAGGUGUAGCGGUGAAAUGCGUAGAUAUCUGGAGGAACACCGGUGGCGAAGGCGGCGUCCUGGACCAACACUGACACUGAUGAGCGAAAGCCAGGGGAGCAAACGGG
RNAcentral lists this ribosomal RNA (253 nucleotides) under uncultured bacterium. RNAcentral describes it as "partial 16S ribosomal RNA". It matches the Rfam family "Bacterial small subunit ribosomal RNA", at positions 524 to 776 of the family's 1533-position model. The record is from RNAcentral.